This 72-nucleotide transfer RNA is filed under the name Camelus bactrianus (Bactrian camel). It matches the Rfam family "tRNA". From Rfam's summary of the family: Transfer RNA (tRNA) molecules are approximately 80 nucleotides in length. Their secondary structure includes four short double-helical elements and three loops (D, anti-codon, and T loops). Lineage: Eukaryota; Metazoa; Chordata; Mammalia; Artiodactyla; Camelidae. RNAcentral also lists the same sequence under 1 other name. The record is from Rfam by way of RNAcentral.
GAGGGUAUAACUCCAUGAUAGAGUGCGUACUUUGCAUGCACGAGGUCCUGGGUUCACUUCCCAGCACUUCCA